AUUAUUUUGGCAGAUUUUUAUGCAAUGAAUUUAGAAUUCAUUUAAAUAUAAUUUUAAUUAUAUAAAUAAUA
Molecule: transfer RNA, 71 nt
Filed under: Hydropsyche columnata
Lineage: Eukaryota; Metazoa; Arthropoda; Insecta; Trichoptera; Hydropsychidae
Description: tRNA-Leu
Source: RNAcentral